This 563-nucleotide ribosomal RNA is filed under the name uncultured Lactococcus sp. RNAcentral describes it as "bacterial SSU rRNA". It matches the Rfam family "Bacterial small subunit ribosomal RNA", at positions 942 to 1506 of the family's 1533-position model. Lineage: Bacteria; Bacillati; Bacillota; Bacilli; Lactobacillales; Streptococcaceae. The record is from RNAcentral.
UGGUUUAAUUCGAAGCAACGCGAAGAACCUUACCAGGUCUUGACAUACUCGUGCUAUUCCUAGAGAUAGGAAGUUCCUUCGGGACACGGGAUACAGGUGGUGCAUGGUUGUCGUCAGCUCGUGUCGUGAGAUGUUGGGUUAAGUCCCGCAACGAGCGCAACCCCUAUUGUUAGUUGCCAUCAUUAAGUUGGGCACUCUAACGAGACUGCCGGUGAUAAACCGGAGGAAGGUGGGGAUGACGUCAAAUCAUCAUGCCCCUUAUGACCUGGGCUACACACGUGCUACAAUGGAUGGUACAACGAGUCGCGAGACAGUGAUGUUUAGCUAAUCUCUUAAAACCAUUCUCAGUUCGGAUUGUAGGCUGCAACUCGCCUACAUGAAGUCGGAAUCGCUAGUAAUCGCGGAUCAGCACGCCGCGGUGAAUACGUUCCCGGGCCUUGUACACACCGCCCGUCACACCACGGGAGUUGGGAGUACCCGAAGUAGGUUGCCUAACCGCAAGGAGGGCGCUUCCUAAGGUAAGACCGAUGACUGGGGUGAAGUCGUAACAAGGUACCAGUAUC